AGAGUUCGAUCAUGGCUCAGGAUGAACGCUGGCGGCGCGCCUAACACAUGCAAGUCGAACGAAGCACCUUACUUGAUUCUUCGGAUGAAGGUCUGGUGACUGAGUGGCGGACGGGUGAGUAACGCGUGGGUAACCUGCCCUGUACAGGGGGAUAACAGUUGGAAACGGCUGCUAAUACCGCAUAAGCGCACGAGAGGACAUCCUCUUGUGUGAAAAACUCCGGUGGUACAGGAUGGGCCCGCGUCUGAUUAGCUGGUUGGCAGGGUAACGGCCUACCAAGGCGACGAUCAGUAGCCGGUCUGAGAGGAUGAACGGCCACAUUGGAACUGAGACACGGUCCAA
This 342-nucleotide ribosomal RNA is filed under the name uncultured bacterium. Its description in RNAcentral is "bacterial SSU rRNA". It matches the Rfam family "Bacterial small subunit ribosomal RNA", at positions 8 to 334 of the family's 1533-position model. The record is from RNAcentral.